This 340-nucleotide unclassified non-coding RNA is filed under the name soil metagenome. Its description in RNAcentral is "partial contains 5.8S ribosomal RNA, internal transcribed spacer 2, and large subunit ribosomal RNA". The stretch from base 2 to 121 matches the Rfam family "5.8S ribosomal RNA", at positions 35 to 154 of the family's 154-position model. The record is from RNAcentral.
AGAUGAAGAACGUAGCGAAAUGCGAUAAGUAAUGUGAAUUGCAGAGUUCAGUGAAUCAUCGAAUCUUUGAACGCACAUUGCGCCCGCCAGUAUUCUGGCGGGCAUGCCUGUUCGAGCGUCAUUUCAACCCUCAAGCACUGCUUGGUGUUGGUGGCCUGCGGCGCCCCCAGCGGCCCGCAGCCGCCCAAAUGCAUUGGCGGACCCGCCGUGGCUCCCUGCGUAGUAGCUAACCUCGCACCGGGCCUCGGCGGCGCCCUGCCGUAAAACCCCAACUUCUCAAGGUUGACCUCGGAUCAGGUAGGAAUACCCGCUGAACUUAAGCAUAUCAAUAAGCGGAGGA